CCUACGGGUGGCAGCAGUGAGGAAUAUUGGUCAAUGGUCGCGAGCCUGAACCAGCCAAGCAGCGUGAGGGAUGACGGUCCAGAGUAUCGUAAACUUCUUUUGUAAGGGAAUAAAGACAGGCACGCGUGCCCGUUUGUGUGUACCUUAUGAAUAAGCAUCGGCUAACUCCGUGCCAGCAGCCGCGGUAAUACGGAGGAUGCGAGCGUUAUCCGGAUUUAUUGGGUUUAAAGGGUGCGGAGGUGGGUUGUUAAGUCAGUUGUGAAAGGCUGGGGCUCAACCGUAAAAUUGAAAUUGAUACUGGCAGUCUUGAGGAGGGGUGAGGUAGGCGGAAUUCGCGGUGUAGCGGUGAAAUGCUUAGAUAUCACGAAGAACUCCGAUUGCGAAGGCAGCAUACUA
Molecule: ribosomal RNA, 396 nt
Filed under: uncultured bacterium
Lineage: Bacteria
Description: partial 16S ribosomal RNA
Rfam family: Bacterial small subunit ribosomal RNA
Source: RNAcentral